Molecule: ribosomal RNA, 601 nt
Filed under: fungal endophyte
Lineage: Eukaryota; Fungi
Description: eukaryotic LSU rRNA
Rfam family: 5.8S ribosomal RNA (bases 180-333)
Source: RNAcentral
UUAAAGAGUUCUAUAACUCCCAAACCCAUGUGAACAUACCUAACGUUGCCUCGGCAGGUCGCACCUACCUUGUAGCACCCUACCCUGUAGGGCCUACCCGGGAGGUGCGGGUAAGCCUGCCGGCGGCCCACCAAACUCUGUUUGAUAUUGAAUUCUGAACCUAUAACUAAAUAAGUUAAAACUUUCAACAACGGAUCUCUUGGUUCUGGCAUCGAUGAAGAACGCAGCGAAAUGCGAUAAGUAAUGUGAAUUGCAGAAUUCAGUGAAUCAUCGAAUCUUUGAACGCAUAUUGCGCCCAUUAGUAUUCUAGUGGGCAGGACCGUUCGAGCGUCAUUUCAACCCUUAAGCCUUCGUUGCUUAGUGUUGGGAGCCUACGGCAACGUAGCUCCUCAAAGUUAGUGGCGGAGUUGGUUCACACUCUAGACGUAGUAAUUUUUUAUCUCGCCUAUUAGUUGGACUAAUCCCCUGCCGUAAAACCCCCAAUUUAUCAAGGUUGACCUCGAAUCGGUUCAGACAAACUCGCUAAAUUGAAGCAUCUUAGUCAGCGAAGGAAAAGAAACCAACAGGGAUUGCCCUAGUAACGGCGAGUGAAGCGGCAACA